This 504-nucleotide long non-coding RNA is filed under the name Equus caballus (horse). RNAcentral's name for it is "lncRNA (ENSECAG00000057568.1)". Lineage: Eukaryota; Metazoa; Chordata; Mammalia; Perissodactyla; Equidae. The record is from RNAcentral.
GAAAAUACAAAGAGGAAUAAGAGAAAGUCCUAACUGCCAAGAAGCUUAGAGUCUAAUGAAAAGCAGAGACAAUGUUUUUCUACAGUUGGAGGUGAGAGGAUGGAUUGAGAAGGAGUAGCAGAGAUCUCAGCCCCUGGAAACUUGGAUUAAUCAACUGACAUCUGGGUAUUCUUUUGCAGGAAUCCAAGUUUCUUGUAAGGUGGAGGAAGCUCUUCAAAGAAGAAAGGAGUUGGGAAUCCUUAUUCCCCCAGCAAUGAGCAACUGUAGAAACACUCCUCUCACAGACCUGGCAAAUGGCUUCUAGUGUUUUUGGUCCAAACACUACAUCUCCCCAGCUCUGUGUCACAUCUUGGCGCUGCAUAGCCCAGUAGUACCACAUCAUCUCGUGGCACUGAGCCAAGAGCGUGCCCGGCGGCGCUUAGCACCAUACAGGAAGUCUGUGGGGCCCUGCAAGCUCCCUCUACCACACUCCUACUGGAGCAGAGGAGGAGAUUAUCAGGCGGC